GUGGGGAAUAUUGGACAAUGGGGGGAACCCUGAUCCAGCCAUGCCGCGUGUGUGAAGAAGGCCUUUUGGUUGUAAAGCACUUUAAGUGGGGAGGAGGCUUACCUGGUUAAUACCUGGGCUAAGUGGACGUUACUCGCAGAAUAAGCACCGGCUAACUCUGUGCCAGCAGCCGCGGUAAUACAGAGGGUGCAAGCGUUAAUCGGAUUUACUGGGCGUAAAGCGCGCGUAGGUGGCCAAUUAAGUCAAAUGUGAAAUCCCCGAGCUUAACUUGGGAAUUGCAUUCGAUACUGGUUGGCUAGAGUAUGGGAGAGGAUGGUAGAAUUCCAGGUGUAGCGGUGAAAUGCGUAGAGAUCUGGAGGAAUACCGAUGGCGAAGGCAGCCAUCUGGCCUAAUACUGACACUGAGGUGCGAAAGCAUGGGGAGCAAACAGGAUUAGAUACCCGAGUAGUCC
This 451-nucleotide ribosomal RNA is filed under the name uncultured bacterium. RNAcentral's name for it is "partial 16S ribosomal RNA". It matches the Rfam family "Bacterial small subunit ribosomal RNA", at positions 354 to 796 of the family's 1533-position model. The record is from RNAcentral.